ACAGGUGGUGCAUGGUUGUCGUCAGCUCGUGUCGUGAGAUGUUGGGUUAAGUCCCGCAACGAGCGCAACCCCUAUCCUUAGUUGCCAGCAUUCAGUUGGGCACUCUAGGGAGGCUGCCGGUGACAAACCGGAGGAAGGUGGGGAUGACGUCAAAUCAUCAUGCCCCUUAUGAGUUGGGCUACACACGUGCUACAAUGGACGGUACAAAGGGCAGCGAGACCGCGAGGUGGAGCCAAUCCCAUAAAGCCGUUCCCAGUUCGGAUUGCAGGCUGCAACUCGCCUGCAUGAAGUCGGAAUCGCUAGUAAUCGCAGGUCAGCAUACUGCGGUGAAUACGUUCCCGGGUCUUGUACACACCGCCCGUCACACCACGAGAGUUUGCAACACCCGAAGCCGGUGAGUAACNAUAAGGAGC
RNAcentral lists this ribosomal RNA (413 nucleotides) under uncultured Exiguobacterium sp. RNAcentral describes it as "bacterial SSU rRNA". It matches the Rfam family "Bacterial small subunit ribosomal RNA", at positions 1034 to 1449 of the family's 1533-position model. Lineage: Bacteria; Bacillati; Bacillota; Bacilli; Caryophanales. The record is from RNAcentral.